RNAcentral lists this small RNA (555 nucleotides) under Pan troglodytes (chimpanzee). Its description in RNAcentral is "retained intron". Lineage: Eukaryota; Metazoa; Chordata; Mammalia; Primates; Hominidae. The record is from RNAcentral.
UAUCUACUGGCCAGUGGAAUAGUGCAGUAAAGUUCAUACAGAGACCAGGAGUCUUAGAAAACUGACCUAGAGCAGGAGAGACAGGUCACAUAUUGGUAGGAGUAAUGUGUCAUGUUUCAGGCACUACACGCUGGAUGCUUCCCUGCCUUUGCGUCUGCGACCAGAGUCAAUGGAGAAGCUGCGCUGUCUCCGGGCUUGUGUGAUCCGAUCUCUGUACCAUAUGUAUGAGCCAUUUGCUGCUCGAAUCUCCAAGAAUCCAGCCAUUCCAGAAAGCACCCCCAGCACAUUAAAGAAUUCCAAAUAGCAUAGCUUGUGUGGGACACUGGAGCCGUUGUGAUGGCAGCAGAAGUGUUUUCCCCUUAAAGCCAAGCCCAUUAAUUUUGAUGGAACAGCAGGACGUACAGGGCAUGUCUGAAGGGCAGGACAGCUGGCACGGCGGACGACCCACCCCUUAUCCCCUGGGAGUGCUUACUUUUCUGGUGCAGAAAGAUUGUUGGGAACAGACAGGAACCAAUGUGGGAAUUCAACUUCAAGUUCAAAAAACAGUCCCCUAGG